AACGAACGCUGGCGGCAGGCCUAACACAUGCAAGUCGAGCGCGCCCUUCGGGGUGAGCGGCGGACGGGUGAGUAACGCGUGGGAACGUGCCCUUUUCUACGGAAUAGCCUCGGUAAACUGAGAGUAAUACCGUAUACGCCCUUUGGGGGAAAGAUUUAUCGGAAAAGGAUCGGCCCGCGUUGGAUUAGGUGGUUGGUGUGGUAAUGGCCUACCAAGCCGACGAUCCAUAGCUGGUUUGAGAGGAUGAUCAGCCACACUGGGACUGAGACACGGCCCAGACUCCUACGGGAGGCAGCAGUGGGGAACCUUAGACAAUGGGGGCAACCCUGAUCGAGCCAUGCCGCGUGAGUGAUGAAGGCCUUAGGGUUGUAAAGCUCUUUCAGCUGGGAAGAUAAUGACGGUACCAGCAGAAGAAGCCCCGGCUAACUCCGUG
RNAcentral lists this ribosomal RNA (433 nucleotides) under uncultured bacterium. RNAcentral describes it as "partial 16S ribosomal RNA". It matches the Rfam family "Bacterial small subunit ribosomal RNA", at positions 29 to 507 of the family's 1533-position model. The record is from RNAcentral.